GGGGGCAGGGCGGCCUGGAUUUGAGGGCCUAUGGAGGAGGCGUGGGGGCUGGGAGUUAAGGGGACAGGGCCAACCUAGCAAAGCAACAUUUGAACUGGGGUCGAGGAACCUGGCCUGCGUGCUCACUGGAAAAAAAUCAGCCAAACAGAAAGGCGUAAAGAAGGAAGAGAAAAAUGACAUAUAAUUCCAUCCUCCCCUGACCUCUCCACUGCCCUGAUGAGGCAGUUGCCAUUAAAGCCGUUCUUCUGUCCGUGCUGGGAGAAGGGGAGCGUGAGAGAGAGGGUCCGCUCCGGAAGGUUAGGGAAGGCUGCGUGAGGAAGCGGCCUCAGAGCUGCGCGCCGGGGAAGGAUUCUCCUGGAUUGAGGGAGACCAAGCUUUGGAGCAGGAAGACGAGUGAGUCGGCUGCUGUCGAGUCUUAAACUUUCCUAUCAACGUUUCCUAUUUUUAAAGAUAGAGGAAAUGGACUCCUGUCUCUGCAGAGUCUAGGAAUUUCUUUGAAGUCUUAUGUUGGGUUUUACAUUUAUUUUUGUUAUUAAUGGGUUUUUUUGGCUGGAGAUAAUACAUGAAAUAGUUAAAACAAAACAAAAACACCCCAGGGAUAUACUGUGGAAAAUAAGUUUCUUGCCAUCCUAAACCCCGUAUAUCCAGUUCUUCUCAGAAGCUAUAACAGUUACCGAUUUCAUUAAUAUUCUUCCAGAGUUAUUCUAUACAUAAAUAAGCAUGUGUGUAUAUUUAUUCCAUCAUUUAAAAAUGUAAUACAUAUAUCAAAUCAUUACAUUGUACACUUUAAAUAGCUUACAAUUUUAUUUGUCAAUUAUACCUCAAUAAAGCUGAAAAAAAUAAAAUUAAAAUGUAAA
Molecule: long non-coding RNA, 857 nt
Filed under: Equus asinus (donkey)
Lineage: Eukaryota; Metazoa; Chordata; Mammalia; Perissodactyla; Equidae
Description: lncRNA (ENSEASG00005030642.1)
Source: RNAcentral